AUCCAUUUCAAAUUAUGUGCAGGGCAUAGAGAGCCCAAAUCAUGAGCAUCAUUCAACCAAUUGUGAUCAACCAUUGGUUAUCAAACCUAAAGGAAGUGCAAAACUUGAUGAUAAUGCUACCUCCUCUGGUCAACCAUCAGUUAUGUCGCCCGUUCCAUUCAUGCCAGAAAAACGCAUCCUUGAGCUUGUCUUGGACAUAUUGCAAAGGUGAGUACUACUCAAGUGUAUUUUGCACCUUUUGAAGUUUAGGAAUGGUAAAAGGAGAAAAUGAUUUAGGAAGAAAUUUUGCGAUGGUAUAUUUCUUGGAGGAAAUAUUUUGUUGUUUAAACAUUUUUCUUUUGGUAUUAGGCGAGAUACAAAUGAAAUAUUUGCUGAACCAGUUGAUCCCAAAGAGGUUGAGGAUUAUUACGAAAUUAUUAAAGAGCCUAUGGAUUUUGGCACCAUGAGGGCUAAACAUCAUGAAGGAAUGUAUACAAAUCUUGAGCAAUUUGAGCAUGACGUAUUUUUAAUACCAAGAAAUGCGAUGCAUUUUAACUCCACGGGUACCAUUUAUUUCAAAGAGG
Molecule: long non-coding RNA, 563 nt
Organism: Camellia sinensis
Lineage: Eukaryota; Viridiplantae; Streptophyta; Magnoliopsida; Ericales; Theaceae
Source: RefSeq, a predicted model, not a curated record